Molecule: ribosomal RNA, 253 nt
Filed under: uncultured bacterium
Lineage: Bacteria
Description: partial 16S ribosomal RNA
Rfam family: Bacterial small subunit ribosomal RNA
Source: RNAcentral
UACGGAGGGAGCUAGCGUUGUUCGGAAUUACUGGGCGUAAAGCGCACGUAGGCGGCUUUGUAAGUUAGAGGUGAAAGCCCGGGGCUCAACCCCGGAAUUGCCUUUAAGACUGCAUCGCUAGAAUCGUGGAGAGGUGAGUGGAAUUCCGAGUGUAGAGGUGAAAUUCGUAGAUAUUCGGAAGAACACCAGUGGCGAAGGCGACUCACUGGACACGUAUUGACGCUGAGGUGCGAAAGCGUGGGGAGCAAACAGG